UUAACGACUCUCGGCAACGGAUAUCUCGGCUCUUGCAUCGAUGAAGAACGUAGCGAAAUGCGAUACUUGGUGUGAAUUGCAGAAUCCCGUGAACCAUCGAGUCUUUGAACGCAAGUUGCGCCCGAGGCCACUAGGUCGAGGGCACGUCUGCCUGGGCGUCACAC
Molecule: ribosomal RNA, 164 nt
Filed under: Adonis vernalis (spring adonis)
Lineage: Eukaryota; Viridiplantae; Streptophyta; Magnoliopsida; Ranunculales; Ranunculaceae
Also listed under: 9 other names
Description: 5.8S ribosomal RNA
Rfam family: 5.8S ribosomal RNA
About the family: 5.8S ribosomal RNA (5.8S rRNA) is a component of the large subunit of the eukaryotic ribosome. It is transcribed by RNA polymerase I as part of the 45S precursor that also contains 18S and 28S rRNA.
Source: RNAcentral